GUCUCUGUAGCAAAUUGGAUAGCGCGUUGGACUUCUAAUCCAACGAUCGUGGGUUUGAAUUACACCUGGGAUG
Molecule: non-coding RNA, 73 nt
Organism: Trichonephila inaurata madagascariensis
Lineage: Eukaryota; Metazoa; Arthropoda; Arachnida; Araneae; Nephilidae
Source: the annotation of a GenBank genome assembly